AACGAACGUUGGCGGCGUGGAUUAGGCAUGCAAGUCGAACGAAUCCCAGAGGGGUAACUCUCUGGGGGAAGUGGCGAAAGGGGCAGUAAGGCGUGGAUAAUCUACCCUCGGGAUCGGGAUAGCUCACCUAACGGUGAGGUAAUACCGGACGACAUGGCGGCGGGGCAUCUCGCUGUCAUCAAAGGUCCGCUGCCCGAGGAGGAGUUCACGUGCUAUUAGCUUGUUGGCGGGGUAACGGCCCACCAAGGCGAAGAUGGCUAGCAGGUGUGAGAGCACGACCUGCGCCACUGGCACUGCGACACUGGCCAGACUCCUACGGGAGGCUGCAGUCGAGGAUCUUCGGCAAUGGGCGCAAGCCUGACCGAGCGACGCCGCGUGCGCGAUGAAGGCCUUCGGGUUGUAAAGCGCUGUCGAGGGGGAGGAAAGCGCAAGCUUGACCUAUCCCUGGAGGAAGCACGGGCUAAGUUCGUGCCAGCAGCCGCCGUAAGAC
RNAcentral lists this ribosomal RNA (490 nucleotides) under uncultured bacterium. Its description in RNAcentral is "bacterial SSU rRNA". It matches the Rfam family "Bacterial small subunit ribosomal RNA", at positions 28 to 526 of the family's 1533-position model. The record is from RNAcentral.